Molecule: non-coding RNA, 107 nt
Organism: Gossypium raimondii (Peruvian cotton)
Lineage: Eukaryota; Viridiplantae; Streptophyta; Magnoliopsida; Malvales; Malvaceae
Source: Rfam
AUACCAUGAUGAGGGCACUUUCAUAAUAAUUCCUUAAAUUAUUCCAUUGCCUCAUAUAAGGACUCAUCAUCAUAUUACUAAAUCAUAGUAAUUUCAUUUAUGAGCUU